This 800-nucleotide ribosomal RNA is filed under the name uncultured bacterium. RNAcentral describes it as "bacterial SSU rRNA". It matches the Rfam family "Bacterial small subunit ribosomal RNA", at positions 42 to 834 of the family's 1533-position model. The record is from RNAcentral.
GGAGACCUUACAUGGGCAGUCGGGGGGCAUCGGGAGGGAAGCUUGCUUUCCUUGCCGGCGACCGGCGCACGGGUGAGUAACACGUAUGCAACCUGCCCUCUUCAGGGGGACAACCUUCCGAAAGGGAGGCUAAUCCCGCGUAUAUCGGUUUCGGGCAUCCGGGAUCGAGGAAAGAUUCAUCGGAAGAGGAUGGGCAUGCGGCGCAUUAGCUUGACGGCGGGGUAACGGCCCACCGUGGCGACGAUGCGUAGGGGUUCUGAGAGGAAGGUCCCCCACACUGGUACUGAGACACGGACCAGACUCCUACGGGAGGCAGCAGUGAGGAAUAUUGGUCAAUGGGAGAGAUCCUGAACCAGCCAAGCCGCGUGAGGGAAGACGGCCCUAUGGGUUGUAAACCUCUUUUGUCGGAGAACAAAACCCGGGACGUGUCCCGGACUGCGUGUAUCCGAAGAAAAAGCAUCGGCUAACUCCGUGCCAGCAGCCGCGGUAAUACGGAGGAUGCGAGCGUUAUCCGGAUUUAUUGGGUUUAAAGGGUGCGUAGGCGGUCCGUUAAGUCAGCGGUAAAAUUGCGGGGCUCAACCCCGUCGAGCCGUUGAAACUGGCAGACUUGAGUUGGCGAGAAGUACGCGGAAUGCGCGGUGUAGCGGUGAAAUGCAUAGAUAUCGCGCAGAACUCCGAUUGCGAAGGCAGCGUACCGGCGCCAGACUGACGCUGAGGCACGAAAGCGUGGGGAUCGAACAGGAUUAGAUACCCUGGUAGUCCACGCAGUAAACGAUGAAUGCUGGUUGUCCGGGUCGAAU